UGAGUACGAGCUGCUACGGCAGCGAAGUGGGUGAUGUCAAGCUUCCAAGAAAAGCCCUAUACCCGUUAAGGCAUGAUGGCCUGUACCCGAAACCGACACAGGUGGGGUGGUAGAGAAUACCGAGGGGCGCGAGAUAACUCUCUCUAAGGAACUCGGCAAAAUGGCCCCGUAACUUCGGGAGAAGGGGUGCCGCCGCAAGGUGGUCGCAGUGAAGGGGCCCAGGCGACUGUUUACCAAAAACACAGGUCUCCGCUAAGUCGCAAGACGAUGUAUGGGGGCUGACGCCUGCCCAGUGCCGGAAGGUUAAGGAAGCUGGUCAGCGUAAGCGAAGCUAGCGACUGAAGCCCCGGUGAACGGCGGCCGUAACUAUAACGGUCCUAAGGUAGCGAAAUUCCUUGUCGGGUAAGUUCCGACCCGCACGAAAGGCGUAACGAUCUGGGCGCUGUCUCGGAGAGAGGCUCGGCGAAAUAGAAUUGUCUGUGAAGAUGCGGACUACGUGCACCCGGACAGAAAGACCCUAUGAAGCUUUACUGUAGCUUGGUAUUGUGCUCGGGCUCGGAAUGCGCAGGAUAGGUGGGAGGCGUUGAACCAUUGCUUGUGGGUGAUGGUGAGCCACUGGUGAGAUACCACUCUUUCCGAGCUAGAGUUCUAACAGCCACCCGUUAUCCGGGGGCUGGACAGUAUCAGGUGGGCAGUUUGACUGGGGCGGUCGCCUCCUAAAAGGUAACGGAGGCGCGCAAAGGUUUGCUCAGGCUGGUUGGAAAUCAGCCGACGAGUGUAAAAGCAGAAGCAAGCUUGACUGUGAGACCUACAAGUCGAACAGGGAGGAAACUCGGCUUUAGUGAUCCGACGGUUCUGCGUGGAAGGGCCGUCGCUCAACGGAUAAAAGUUACUCUAAGGAUAACAGGCUGAUCUCCCCCAAGAGUUCACAUCGACGGGGAGGUUUGGCACCUCGACGUCGGCUCAUCGCAACCUGGGGCUGAAGUCGGUCCCAAGGGUUGGGCUGUUCGCCCAUUAAAGCGGUACGCGAGCUGGGUUCAGAACGUCGUGAGACAGUUCGGUCCAUAUCCGGUGCAUGCGCAGGAAUAUUGAGAGGAUUUCUCCCUAGUACGAGAGGACCGGGAGGAACGCACCUCUGGUGUACCAGUUAUCGUGCCAACGGUAAACGCUGGGUAGCCAUGUGCGGAGAGGAUAACCGCUGAAAGCAUCUAAGUGGGAAGCCCACCUCAAGAUGAGUAUUCCCAUGGGGUAACCCAGUAAGGUCACGGGAAGAACACCCGUUGAUAGGCUCUACGUGGAAGCGCAGUAAUGUGUGAAGCGGAGGAGUACUAAUAGACCGAGGGCUUGAC
This 1349-nucleotide ribosomal RNA is filed under the name metagenome. Its description in RNAcentral is "bacterial LSU rRNA". It matches the Rfam family "Bacterial large subunit ribosomal RNA", at positions 1564 to 2925 of the family's 2925-position model. The record is from RNAcentral.